CCUACGGGUGGCAGCAGUGGGGAAUAUUGGACAAUGGGCGAAAGCCUGAUCCAGCCAUGCCGCGUGUGUGAAGAAGGCCUUCGGGUUGUAAAGCACUUUCAGUGGGGAAGAAAGCCUUGGGGCUAAUACCCUCGAGGGAGGACAUCACCCACAGAAGAAGCACCGGCUAACUCCGUGCCAGCAGCCGCGGUAAUACGGAGGGUGCGAGCGUUAAUCGGAAUUACUGGGCGUAAAGCGCGCGUAGGCGGUCUGAUAAGCCGGUUGUGAAAGCCCCGGGCUCAACCUGGGAACGGCAUCCGGAACUGUCAGGCUAGAGUGCAGGAGAGGAAGGUAGAAUUCCCGGUGUAGCGGUGAAAUGCGUAGAGAUCGGGAGGAAUACCAGUGGCGAAGGCGGCCUUCUGGACUGACACUGACGCUGAGGUGCGAAAGCGUGGGUAGCAAACAGGAUUAGAUACCCGAGUAGUC
Molecule: ribosomal RNA, 465 nt
Filed under: Vreelandella stevensii
Lineage: Bacteria; Pseudomonadati; Pseudomonadota; Gammaproteobacteria; Oceanospirillales; Halomonadaceae
Description: partial 16S ribosomal RNA
Rfam family: Bacterial small subunit ribosomal RNA
Source: RNAcentral